GGGGUUGUGGCUCAAUGGUAGAGCGCUUGCCUCGCACAUAUGAGACCCUGGGUUUGAUCCUCAGCACCA
Non-coding RNA from Ictidomys tridecemlineatus (thirteen-lined ground squirrel), 69 nucleotides. The record is from Rfam. NCBI's taxonomy places the organism in Eukaryota, Metazoa, Chordata, Mammalia, Rodentia, Sciuridae.